Molecule: transfer RNA, 71 nt
Filed under: Loxodonta africana (African savanna elephant)
Lineage: Eukaryota; Metazoa; Chordata; Mammalia; Proboscidea; Elephantidae
Rfam family: tRNA
About the family: Transfer RNA (tRNA) molecules are approximately 80 nucleotides in length. Their secondary structure includes four short double-helical elements and three loops (D, anti-codon, and T loops). Further hydrogen bonds mediate the characteristic L-shaped molecular structure. tRNAs have two regions of fundamental functional importance: the anti-codon, which is responsible for specific mRNA codon recognition, and the 3' end, to which the tRNAs corresponding amino acid is attached (by aminoacyl-tRNA synthetases). tRNAs cope with the degeneracy of the genetic code in two manners: having more than one tRNA (with a specific anti-codon) for a particular amino acid; and 'wobble' base-pairing, i.e. permitting non-standard base-pairing at the 3rd anti-codon position.
Source: Rfam by way of RNAcentral
ACAGUGGUGGUCCACUGGUAGAAUGCUUGCCUUGCAUGCGGGAGACCUGGGUUCCAUUCCCGGCCAAGGCA